RNAcentral lists this ribosomal RNA (484 nucleotides) under uncultured bacterium. RNAcentral's name for it is "partial 16S ribosomal RNA". It matches the Rfam family "Bacterial small subunit ribosomal RNA", at positions 28 to 507 of the family's 1533-position model. The record is from RNAcentral.
AUUGAACGCUGGCGGCAUGCUUUACACAUGCAAGUCGAACGGCAGCGCGGGCUUCGGCCUGGCGGCGAGUGGUGAACGGGUGAGUAAUGCAUCGGAACGCGCCCAGUAGUGGGGGAUAGCCCGGCGAAAGCCGGAUUAAUACCGCAUACGACCUGAGGGUGAAAGCGGGGGACCGAAAGGCCUCGCGCUAUUGGAGCGGCCGAUGUCGGAUUAGCUAGUUGGUGGGGUAAAGGCUUACCAAGGCGACGAUCCGUAGCUGGUCUGAGAGGACGACCAGCCACACUGGGACUGAGACACGGCCCAGACUCCUACGGGAGGCAGCAGUGGGGAAUUUUGGACAAUGGGGGCAACCCUGAUCCAGCCAUGCCGCGUGCGGGAAGAAGGCCUUCGGGUUGUAAACCGCUUUUGUUCGGGAAGAAAUCCUCUGGGCUAAUACCCCGGGGGGAUGACGGUACCGGAAGAAUAAGCACCGGCUAACUACGUG